AUUGAACGCUGGCGGAAUGCUUUACACAUGCAAGUCGAACGGCAGCACGGACUUCGGUCUGGUGGCGAGUGGCGAACGGGUGAGUAAUAUAUCGGAACGUGCCCAGUCGUGGGGGAUAACGUAGUGAAAAUUACGCUAAUACCGCAUACGAUCUACGGAUGAAAGCGGGGGAUCGCAAGACCUCGCGCGAUUGGAGCGGCCGAUAACAGAUUAGGUAGUUGGUGAGGUAAAGGCUCACCAAGCCAACGAUCUGUAGCUGGUCUGAGAGGACGACCAGCCACACUGGGACUGAGACACGGCCCAGACUCCUACGGGAGGCAGCAGUGGGGGAUUUUGGACAAUGGACGCAAGUCUGAUCCAGCCAUUCCGCGUGCAGGACGAAGGCCUUCGGGUUGUAAACUGCUUUUGUACAGAACGAAAAGGUUUCUAUUAAUACUAGGGGCUCAUGACGGUACUGUAAGAAUAAGCACCGGCUAACUACGUGCCAGCAGCCGCAGUAA
This 500-nucleotide ribosomal RNA is filed under the name uncultured bacterium. RNAcentral describes it as "partial 16S ribosomal RNA". It matches the Rfam family "Bacterial small subunit ribosomal RNA", at positions 30 to 523 of the family's 1533-position model. The record is from RNAcentral.